AUUGAACGCUGGCGGCAGGCUUAACACAUGCCAGUCGAGCGAGCGGCGGACGGGUGAGUAAUGUCUGGGAAACUGCCUGAUGGAGGGGGAUAACUACUGGAAACGGUAGCUAAUACCGCAUACCAUCAGAUGUGCCCCGAUGGGAUUAGCUAGUAGGUGGGGUAAUGGCUCACCUAGGCGACGAUCCCUAGCUGGUCUGAGAGGAUAACCAGCAACAGUGGAACUGAGACACGGCCCAGACUCCUAGGGGAGGAAGCGGGGGGGAAUAUUGCACAAUGGCGGCAAGCCUGAUGCAGCAAUGCCGCGUGUGUGAAGAAGGCCUUCGGGUUGUAAAGCACUUUCAGCGAGGAGGCGUUACUCGCAGAAGAAGCACCGGCUAACUCCGUGCCAGCAGCCGCGUAAUUC
Molecule: ribosomal RNA, 405 nt
Filed under: uncultured bacterium
Lineage: Bacteria
Description: partial 16S ribosomal RNA
Rfam family: Bacterial small subunit ribosomal RNA
Source: RNAcentral